RNAcentral lists this ribosomal RNA (423 nucleotides) under uncultured prokaryote. Its description in RNAcentral is "bacterial SSU rRNA". It matches the Rfam family "Bacterial small subunit ribosomal RNA", at positions 355 to 774 of the family's 1533-position model. The record is from RNAcentral.
UAAGGAAUAUUGGUCAAUGGACGCAAGUCUGAACCAGCCAUGCCGCGUGAAGGAAGACGGCCCUACGGGUUGUAAACUUCUUUUGUACGGGAAAAAAUCUUUGGUCGUGAACCAGAGUUGAUGGUACCGUAAGAAUAAGCAUCGGCUAACUCCGUGCCAGCAGCCGCGGUAAUACGGAGGAUGCAAGCGUUAUCCGGAUUCAUUGGGUUUAAAGGGUGCGCAGGCGGAAUGAUAAGUCAGCGGUGAAAUCCUACGGCUCAACUGUAGAACUGCCGUUGAUACUGUUGUUCUUGAGUACACUUGGAGUGGGCGGAAUGUGUCAUGUAGCGGUGAAAUGCUUAGAUAUGACACAGAACACCGAUCGCGAAGGCAGCUCACUAAAUUGUAACUGACGCUCAGGCACGAAAGCGUGGGGAUCAAACA